Non-coding RNA from Rattus norvegicus (Norway rat), 8382 nucleotides. Lineage: Eukaryota; Metazoa; Chordata; Mammalia; Rodentia; Muridae. The record is from RefSeq and is a predicted model, not a curated record.
CUCCGUCAGACUGCGUUUAGGAAGCCAGAGUGCUCUGUAGAGGUGUUGGACGUGGGUGGCACGUUUUCUGAUGUGCUUGGCGCCUGGUGCACAAUAUCGGGAUGGCUUAUGGGAGGAAAUUGAUUUCUCAUUUGAAAGCAGAUGCCAAGUGGAUACAGCUUCUUGGUUAAGAUGGGACCUUUGUUGCUCUCAGUGCUGGGACCCUGUCUGGCUCGACCCUGUACAGGCUCUGCAGGCCGCCGUGGUCUCGAGAGUUCAUACGUGAGUGAGACCUGCUAGGACUAGCCUGUUUCCUUGGUGUCAUCCGUCCCCUCUGGCUCUUAAAUCUGUCUGUCUACUGUUCCGCGUAGAUUCUCGAGCCCUGAGGGGAGGGGGUCUGACGAAGACAUCCUGUUUAGGACUGAGCACUCCACGGUCUCUCACUCUGUGUACAUUGUCCAGCUGUGUUAGGUCUGUCUCUGUGUUAGUUCCCAUCUGCUGUAAGAGGCAGCUUCCCUGAUGGCGGGCUGAGUCCCAGUCUACUUCUACUUAAGAAAAAGUAAAAACAAAACAAAACAAACGAAAACCCCAUUGACCCCAAACACCUCAGAAAAAACAGUUCCAACAUGUGAACAUCCUGAUGAUGUUUAAAUUUAAUAACAGUCUUAGGUUUUUCUAUUGUUAAACAAUUAGCAGUGUUCUUAUAUCCAGCAAAGAGUCAACCUAGGGAUUAAGGAAGCCACAGGGCAUGGCCUACAUUGUCCCUGAGCUGUUCCAGAUAGGUAGAACCCUCCCGGCUUCACCAAAAUUUGACAAAGGCCACUUGCCCUUGUCUGUCACUGCAGGCUCAGCCUCUCCUUCCUGUAACUAUUCGACCUUGUGCUGAGUCUCCCAUACUGUGAAGGCCUACCCACCAGGCUGGGCAUGCUCUCCUCUAGCUCCCUCCUUCACAGACUGUAGCCCCCAGAGGAUCCUGGGACUUCCCAGGUCAGGUGUAGAGUGGAAUCCCAGCAUGAAAACGAAGUAGCUUAUUGAUCGGAUUGACCCUGUAUGACAUGCAAUUGAAAUGUCUAUGUUUGGGGUUGGGGAUUUAGCUCAGUGGUAGAGCGCUUGCCUAGCAAGCGCAAGGCCCUGGGUUCAGUCCCCAGCUCCGAAAAAAAGAACCAAAAAAAAAAAAAAAAAAAAAAAAGUCUAUGUUUGAGUAGAAAUCCCUUCCUAAGAUCCAAAAUAAGCACAUUACAUCAGAAAUAAGGCCAUCUUUGUGUUUUUCCACAGCAGAGUCCAUUGAAUAAAAAUAGGUCCACAAACUAUGUUAAUUGGUUUUAUUGGCUACAAUUUAUAGAAAUCCAGAUUUCUCUUGACAGUAUGGUCAUGAUGUUCACAAGUUCCUUUAUUCCAAUUUGUUUGUUUGUUUGUAUUUAUUUAUUUAUUUAUUUAUUUAUAGGCAGGAUCUCACUAUGUAGCCAUGGCUUGCAUGGAACUCAGGUAGAGUAGGCUGGCCUCUAACUUAGAGAUCCUCAUGCAUCUGCUGCCUCAGUGCUGGGAUUAAAGGCAUAUAUCAUUACUCCCAGCCUGUAUUAGAAUCUUAAUUCCUAAUAUUAAUUUAGCACAUGUGUUGCACUUUAUGAAACUAACUAUAGGUCACAGUUUAAAAACACCUUACCGAAGGCAGAGACAGCAAGGUGACAUGGAUGCCAAGAAAGAUUCUGGUGGUUAGCUAAGGAAUUUUUCCCUUUAUUUAAUUAAUUAAUUUAUUUAUUUAGAGAUAGAAUCUCACAAUAUGGCUCUGGCUAUCCUGGAACUCACUGUGGAGACUAAGUUGGCCUUGAACUCACAGAGAUUCUUCCACACCUCCAGAGCGUUGAGAUAAAAGGUGUGCACCAUUGGGCCCAGCUGGUUAGAUAAUUUUUUAAAAAAUAUUUAAUUUUAUGAUUUUUAAGUGUGUGUAUGUGUGCGCGCGCGCGUGCGCGCGUGUGAGUACAGGUGCCUACAGAGACCAGAGGAAUCAAAUGUUCCUGGAGCUGAAGUUAUAGGUGGUUGUGGCUGGCUGAAAUAGUUGCUGGGAAUCAAACUUGGGUCCUUUGAAAAAGCAAUCUGUCCUCUUAGCUGCUGAGCCAUCUCUCCAGCCCCUUGAUAAGAACUCAGAGAGUUCUUUAUGGAACUCAGAGAGUUCUUUAUGGAACUCAGAGAGCUGCUGUAGGCACCCAGGUGCAGAGCUGAGGUAAGUUGACAGGAAAUUCAAGACCAGCCCAGACCAUCGUGGUAAUUCAAAAGGACACCAAGCAAGCAACAGGGACUAUACUGAGCUGAAGCCGCAGGGGCAGACUUUUACUCUAUCCGCUCCUUCAUACAGACAUUGGAUGGUUGAGCAAUUGUUAGUGGGGCUACCACAGUGUUACUUGUCCCUUAUUUUAACAUGAACUGGGUGAACGAUCUACAUCCUUUGGUUCAUCUUCCGUGUUUAGUAAGCCAACCAGUCUGGCUUUCCUGAGAUGGUUUUAAUGUGUCCAUGUAAUCCUGAUCUGCUUUGAUACGGUCAUGGGUGGUCAUACACAGCUAAUAGGUUUUCUCCUCUGAUGGAGUAAGUCAAUUCACGUGGAACAGGGUAGCCCGUGCCAUGGUGGAGCAGGCCAGCCCACGGGUACCUCCUGAACUAAGACAAGGAGACCCAAGGAGAAGCAGGUUUAUUUGGGGCAGCUCUCAGAUAACUCUGACUGGUUUCAAGAAAGGGUGAGGGAAGUCAGGCUGCAGGCAGGGGUUUGGGAGGUGGGGAGCAGAGAGAGAAAGAGAGCACAGGUGCUGGCGGGCCCUUUUAUCUGCAGCUUGCAGCUGGCACACCUGGCGGCAGCAGGUGUUAAUGUAAGCAGUUGCUAGUUCCCUGAGAGCAGGCCAGUGGGACAGCCUAUAUAUUACCAGGGUUAGGGUUAGGGGUUCCGGUUUGAAAGCCCAACAAAGGUCUUUAACUUGUUUUAAUCCUCAUGACUGAUGCCGGACAGGUUUGGGAGUGUGUGUAUGUGCACAGAUGAGACACAGUUGUCCUGUGUCUGUGUCACAGUGAAGCCUAAUGAUGCUUUGUAAAAUGUAGUCUCCCAGGGCAAAGCACAGCCUAAAAUUCACUAUUCCGCUGACUAUGGAAGGCCUCACAGCCUGAUAUCCAUAAAUGUCCCAGGGAGAAGUUUUGUGCAAGGAAACCUAAAGUGAGCCAAACCCCAAGGAGAUUCCAUGUUCUUUAUUUAUUUGUAUUUGAGACAGAGUCUUGCUAUGCAAUUCAUGCUUGCCCUUCAGCUAUGAUCAUCCCGCUAGGAUUACAAGCCGGAGUCACUAUACCAUACCUGGCUUGAACUCCGAUCUUUUUUUUUUUUUUUAAAGAUUUAUUUACUUAUUUAAUGUAUGUGAACACACUGUCGCUGUCCUCAGACACACCAGAAGAGGGCAUCAGAUCCCAUUGCAGAUGGUUGUGAGCCACCAUGAUGUGGUUGCUUGGAAUUGAACUCAGGACCUCUGGAAGGGCAGGCAGUGCUCUUAACCACGGAGCCAUCAGUCCCUGAACUCCAUUUCUUCAGCACAAAUUCAAAAUGGGUUGUAAUGGAGGACUAUUCCAAACACGUGACAAUACAGAACUUGGUCAAGGAGAACAAACCGCUCCUCCUGAUUCCCGCUUAGAGCUGCUGUGGCUCACGCUUCUCAGGCCUGGCACGCGGCCCUGGCAGGAUGGACUCACUGGUAUGUGCACAGGAGAGAUUGUUUCCUGCCCUGUAGAGCUGGGACCAACAGGGCCUGGCCUGGAGCUGGUUUCUUGGCGGCAAGCCCGAGCUGCAGCCUGGAAGCCUGCGUCACUACGAGACUCUUGUUUAGAAGUCAGGAAGGCUUGAGUUUCUGUUUGUUUUGUUUGAAAGUCUUUCUCCGUGUUUUAUGUAUUCUGCCACAGCCAAGGUUGCCCUGACCACAGACUUUUAGUUCUUGCUUGUGAGGGAUGGCGUGGCUUGAGACCCUCUGGCUAGAUUAAUAGUUCCAAACUCUCUUUUGGAAAGGUUAAAAAGUUACUUGGAUGAGGAUAAGCUUCAUAUCACUCCAGUUUUCAAACACAGUUUGUAAGGGGUCUCUCAGGAGAAAAGGCAGAGUUCCUUAGGUCCUGGUGUCUGUGAGGGAAACGAGGACCUAGGAAGGGAGAGACUCUAGUCAGUCCAGAAUGAGAGAAGAACAGAUCAUUCCUCCCUCAAAUUUCCUCUGGAGAUCUGGCUGCCGGGAAGCAUUCCUCACUGGGCCCACUGUCUGGCUUUGAAUGGAGGCUUGGGGGGAAGUGUCCUGCUUCCCACCCCUUUCUCCACAGGGCCGGUGGAAGAACCGGAGUGGAGCUUGGCUGCCUACAGAUUAGCCAGCCCUGGACAGUGGGCCUCUGGACAGAUGGAUCAGUGAUUCCCCCUGGGGAUCCUCAGAAUCUGCUCCUAGAUCUAAGAAGUGAAGCAAGACCAUUGAAAGGCUCAGGCAGCUCGGGCUGCCCCACAGAUUGGCCCUGUAUUGAGAAGGCUCAGGAAUGCAGCUGAAGACACAAGGGCUAAGUAAGAGGAGGAGGCCAUAAAAGGUCAGCACCACCAUAGGCUCAUGGGACAGAGAGAACCUAGGAAGUUCAGAUUUGACUCAGACACAGGAGGCAAGUGUGUGAAGUGAAUGUAGAUUCUUCAGUGAAUGGUACCGGAGCAGCUGCAGGGCUGGGGGGCUGGGGGGACAGCGUGAGAUCUGUAUUUCACACCAUACACAAGAGAACCCCAACGGGUCAGGGAUCUGAACACGAAAGCUGAGACUGCACAAGCUUCCCAGGGAACUCCCUAGCCUCAACGUUAAGGCAUGCCUUUCUGAGGAACAUUUAAAGACCAGACGCAACCACAAAGACCAGAGGAGUGCACAUGGUUAUGAAAUGCUAGAAAUUUAUAUGACGAGAAACCAUAAACAGGGUACAAAGAAAACUGACACCCUAGGACAAAGAUGCUUAAAACUUCUGGGGCUGGAGUUGUAGCUCAGCUGUUGAAGGGCUGGCUCAACAGGCACAAAAUCCCGGGCUCCAUCUUUGGUCCUGCAUAAAUCAGGAGUGGGAGCAGACCCCUGCAAUACCAGCAAUACAGGGUGAAUGGACAGGAAUCCGAGAGUGUAAAUGCCAACCUCAGCUACCUAGCCAUCCAGGGAUACAGGAGACCCUGACUCAGUAAACAAACAAGCAAGCAAAAGCAGCGUUUACCAGGAACUGGAUGUGGUGGUUCAGCCCGGUCAUCCUAGCAGUUGGGAGGCUGAGCAGGGAUGAUAGCGAGUUAGAGGCUAGCCUGGCCUCCAAAAUGAGGCCCUGUUUCAAGAACAGAGAAGAAAGACCCCAAGUCAAGGGCUGGAGAGAUGGCUCAGUGGUUAAGAGUUCUUGUAGAGGACCCAAGAUUCAAAGGAAGGCUCACGACUGUCUGUAAUUCUAGUGUCAGGCGACCUGAUAGCCUCUUCCAGGCAGCAGGCACACACAUGGUACACAGACAUAUAGACAAUCAGUAUAGUCCUACACAUAAAAAUAAUCUUUAAAAAAAAUUCCUCAAUUCUACCUUGUGGUUUGACAGAAAAUGGCUCCCAUAGGCUCACAGGCAGUGGCACUAUAAGGUGUGGCAUUGUUGGAGGAAGUGUGUCACUACAGGGUGGGCUUUGAGGUCUCAGAAGCUUGACAGGCCUAGUGGCUCACUGCUUCUUUCUGCUGUCUGCAGAUCAAGAUGUAGAACUCUCAGCUACCUGCAGGCCACCAUGCUUCCUGCCAUGGUGAUAGUGGACCAAACCUCUGAGCUGCAAGCCAGCCCCAGUUAAAUGUCUUUGUUUAUAAGAAUUGCUGUGGUCAUGGUGUCUCUUCAUUGCAACAGAAACCCUAAGUAAGACAUACGUUGAAGAAAAAGUUACUACCCCGCCUUAGUUUUUUGUCUGUGAUAAAAUACCCUGACAGAAACAACUCAAGGAAAAAGGGUUCAUCUUGGUUCACAGUCCCAGGCUACAGUCCUUCACUUUGGGGAAGUCAAGGCACCCAGAGCUUGAAGCAUCUGGUCACAUUAUGUCCACAGUCAGAAGAAGAGAGUAAUAAAUGCCGGCAAACCAGUGCCCAACUCACGUUCCUUGUUUUAGAUGGUACAGAAUCCCUUGCCCAGGGAAGAGUCAUGCUGACAGGAGGUCUUCCCUACAUUAACUGGUUAUGAUAAUCGUUUACUGACUUACAGAGAGCCUAAACAGCCCCGGUGCUCAGAGACCUGUUUCUCAGGUGAUUCUUGGUUGAGGUAAGUUCCCUUCUGAGUUAAGAAGCUUCUUUCUUUCAAGAUUAAGAUAUUGGAGUGAGUGUAUUAUAUUGUAGAUAUAUUUGGAGUCAGGGGAUAUAUUGACGUAAGGUUGGAAACAAGUGUACUUCCAUGAGCCCACAUGAGAACAAUUAGUUCUGCUAUUGAGAAGUUGUGUGGGCGUAGGGAUUUGGCUUCUAGUAUGUAGGCUUGUGGCUGUAGUUGGAUCCCUUUGAAAUAUAGCAUAUCUUACUCUGUAAAGGAGCUUGUUUUAGGGCACUUUCAAUCUGGGGCUUUUGCAGGGUAAUCAAAGAUAUGAGCAUUGUUGAGGAGAUGUGAGGAUGUAGAGUUCUUGGGGAGGAGAGUUGUGGGGAUGAGGGAUGACUCAUGUACAAGGUUGGGCUCUAAUAAGUAAGCAUGGAGAAGCCGUAGCCCAGAUAGCGAUGCAUUAGAAAAAUAUGGUGACUGAUGAGAGCUUUGGUAAAUCUGUACUGAGAAUGAGGAGGGGGCUGUGAAGCCAGACUUUCUCUGCCUCAGUGCCAAGUAGUACAGUUGCAGCUAAGGUGCUAGAGGGAAGGUGGCCAGCUUUUGGUCACGAUGUGUAGCUGUUUGGAGAUAUAGGCUAUGGGGCAAUAUGUGUGUCUCCCCCCACCCCUGCCUUGGCAGAGUAUUGUAAAGGUUUGUCCUUGGUUAGUAUGUGAAUGUGAAAGGACAAGGCCUUGUGUAGGUCUGGAAGAGCUAGCAUAGAGGCAUGAGAAUGACCAGAUCUAAGCAGGUUUAUGGGACAAACAAGGGCUUGGGAGACAAGAGUGGCUCCUCCAGGCGUCCCUUAGUGGCUUCGUAAAGAGGCUGUGCAGUGAGGGGGAAGUUGGGGAUCCAUAUAUGGAAGACGUUAAAGAGGCCUAGUAAUGCAAGAAGUUCACACUUGGUUUGUGAGGCGGGUGGUGUGGACCGCAUGACGACCACUGCUGCUUGACAGAGGUCCAGCACAUCGACAUCACGGAUGAUAAUUCUCUACCAUCCUUGACUUUCAUCUUUGAUGAGUCUCACUGUGCGUUAAGGGAGUUUCCUUACACUUUUCUCCUUUGGGAUAUUUUGCAUGAGCUUUGGCAGAGGGUGUGUACAAUGGCAGUCUCUCUAAACAAAAUCACUCUUUGGCAAAGGUCUCCACCGCAGUGGAACCACGCAGAGUGAUCACUCUGCCUACUCCUACACAGGAAUCCCUAUUGUGCCCCAUUGUUUGCACCAAGCAUAGAGAAGUUAAAAAUUUACUCACUGAAAGAUGGUGCCAGAAAUUCUUGGGUGCAUUCGGUCUGGAGGGUGAAAGCACACAAUCGAGAGAAACAAUGGACCCAGACCUGAGGCCUUGGCAGUUGAGGUGAGAGUUCAGUUAGUAAGUAUAGAACAGUGUCCAGCAUUGACUCCCUGGUACGGGACUUACAGGAGGAAUGGCGAGGCUGGUGUGCCCCAUGAGAAGCAGAUCCUGAUGAGAAGGUAGACUGGCUUGGUCCCCCUCUGCCAUGGACAGCAGCAGGCACUGAAGGAAUCAGGAUGGUUUGGCCAAUGGAAAAAGAGUAAGAUGCCAGGCCCUUCCCUUGGGGAGCUCAGGAGGAGGACGGGCCGUGUUGUGAGACUGAGGCACAAAGGAACACGACUAGGAGACGGCUCGAUGUUAUUAUGCUACCUGGUGCAAACGCUGCCUCAUGCAUGCCUCUGAGGAAUGAGAGCUGCUCUCAUGGGUUUGUUUCUCAAGACUCAAUGUCUGGCACCCCCCCCCCCGACCACAAAGGCUGACCGCAAAGGCUGAGGGCCUUCGAGAGGAAAUGGAAAAGGGGCACCUGGUGGGGUUACUGAACCUCAUUAAACAAUGGGGACUUAGAUGCUUGGGGAACUUACUGCUUUUGCUUCAAAGAAAAAUAUGGUAAUAAGGUUGAUGACCUCUUUCAUUCUGGAUGUUGGAAAAUAGGGCUAAAAUAGGUUAAAAACAGUCUGUGGAAAGAUCAUAUAUUUCUUGGAAUUAAUAAGCCUGCUUUCAACAUUACCUGUAAUUAAGCUACUAUGCAAAUAGAGAGUUUAAAAAUGUGUAAACUUGUUUUCAAUAAACACAUGAGCUCUCCUG